RNAcentral lists this ribosomal RNA (245 nucleotides) under uncultured bacterium. RNAcentral describes it as "partial 16S ribosomal RNA". It matches the Rfam family "Bacterial small subunit ribosomal RNA", at positions 90 to 334 of the family's 1533-position model. The record is from RNAcentral.
UAUGAGUGGCGAACGGGUGAGUAACACGUGAGUAACCUGCCUCUUCUUUGGGAUAACGCCCGGAAACGGGUGCUAAUACUGGAUAUUCACUGGCCUUCGCAUGGGGGUUGGUGGAAAGGUUUGUUCUGGUGGGGGAUGGGCUCGCGGCCUAUCAGCUUGUUGGUGGGGUGAUGGCCUACCAAGGCUUUGACGGGUAGCCGGCCUGAGAGGGUGACCGGUCACAUUGGGACUGAGAUACGGCCCAG